RNAcentral lists this ribosomal RNA (422 nucleotides) under uncultured Succinivibrio sp. RNAcentral's name for it is "bacterial SSU rRNA". It matches the Rfam family "Bacterial small subunit ribosomal RNA", at positions 355 to 794 of the family's 1533-position model. Lineage: Bacteria; Pseudomonadati; Pseudomonadota; Gammaproteobacteria; Aeromonadales; Succinivibrionaceae. The record is from RNAcentral.
UGGGGAAUAUUGCACAAUGGGGGGAAACCCUGAUGCAGCGACGCCGCGUGGAGGAAGGAGGUCUUCGGAUUGUAAACUCCUGUUGUUGAGGAAGAUAAUGACGGUACUCAACAAGGAAGUGACGGCUAACUACGUGCCAGCAGCCGCGGUAAUACGGAGGGUGCAAGCGUUAAUCGGAAUAACUGGGCGUAAAGGGCAUGCAGGCGGUUCAUCAAGUAGGAUGUGAAAUCCCCGGGCUCAACCUGGGAGCAGCAUACUAAACUGGUGGACUAGAGUAUUGCAGGGGGAGACGGAAUUCCAGGUGUAGCGGUGGAAUGCGUAGAUAUCUGGAAGAACACCAAAGGCGAAGGCAGUCUCCUGGGCAAAUACUGACGCUCAUAUGCGAAAGCGUGGUAGCAAACAGGAUUAGAUACCCUGGUAGU